GAAGAACUUCAGAAUCCGAAUUUGGAAGUGAUGCAAGAAGAAGAGGUGGACAGAGAGGUCCAUGAGGAAAAUAGUUCAAAUGAUUCCUCUGAUACCAUUAAUUAUGACUGGGUACCUGAAGAUCAAAACAUAUUGAUUAACAAGAAACAGUUAUUGGAGGUAUUAAAGAAAGCAGAAAAAGGACUUAAAGAAAACUAUUCAAGUUUGCAUGAAAUGCGCC
Long non-coding RNA from Bombina bombina (fire-bellied toad), 220 nucleotides. RefSeq lists it as uncharacterized. The record is from RefSeq and is a predicted model, not a curated record. NCBI's taxonomy places the organism in Eukaryota, Metazoa, Chordata, Amphibia, Anura, Bombinatoridae. The transcript is spliced from 3 exons.